Molecule: ribosomal RNA, 566 nt
Filed under: uncultured Aminicenantes bacterium
Lineage: Bacteria; Candidatus Aminicenantota
Description: partial 16S ribosomal RNA
Rfam family: Bacterial small subunit ribosomal RNA
Source: RNAcentral
GGNCAGNGUUAAUUGGCNAACNGAAAACCUUCCUGGCUUGACCUCGUGGUAAACCCGAAAGGGUGCGAUCCUKGUUUCMGGAANCCCGCCRRRGUUCUGCAUGGCUGUCGUCAGCUCGUKUCGUGAGAUGUKGGUUAAGUCCCGCAACGAGCGCAACCCCUGCCUUUAGUUGCCAGCGAGUCAUGUCGGGCACUUUUAAGGGGACCGCCUCGGAUAACGGGGAGGAAGGUGGGGAUGACGUCAAGUCAGCAUGGCCUUUAUGUCCAGGGCUACACACGUGCUACAAUGGGCGGUACAGAGGGACGCAAGACCGCGAGGUGGAGCAAAUCCCUAAAACCGUCCUCAGUUCGGAUCGCAGGCUGCAAUUCGCCUGCGUGAAGUUGGAAUCGCUAGUAAUCGCGGAUCAGCUACGCCGCGGUGAAUACGUUCCCGGGCCUUGUACACACCGCCCGUCACAUCACGAAAGCUGGUUGUGCCCGAAGUCGUUGCGCUAACCCGCAAGGGAGGCAGGCGCCUAAGGCAUGGUCGGUGAUUGGGGUGAAGUNGUAACAAGGUANCNNNAGGGC